GCCGGGCGUGGUGGCGGGUGCCUGUAAUCCCAGCUACUUGGGAGGCUGAGGCAAGAGAAUCACUGGAACCCGGGAGAUGGAGAUUGCAGUGAGCCGAGAUCGUGCCACUGCACUCCAGCCUGGGCAACAGAGUGAGACUUUGUCUCAA
Molecule: non-coding RNA, 148 nt
Filed under: Homo sapiens (human)
Lineage: Eukaryota; Metazoa; Chordata; Mammalia; Primates; Hominidae
Source: Rfam by way of RNAcentral